This 492-nucleotide ribosomal RNA is filed under the name uncultured bacterium. Its description in RNAcentral is "partial 16S ribosomal RNA". It matches the Rfam family "Bacterial small subunit ribosomal RNA", at positions 29 to 507 of the family's 1533-position model. The record is from RNAcentral.
AGUGAACGCUGGCGGUAGGCCUAACUCAUGCAAGUCGAACGGCAGCACAGUAAGAGCUUGCUCUUACGGGUGGCGAGUGGCGGACGGGUGAGGAAUACAUCGGAAUCUACUUUUUCGUGGGGGAUAACGUAGGGAAACUUACGCUAAUACCGCAUACGACCUACGGGUGAAAGCAGGGGAUCUUCGGACCUUGCGCGAUUGAAUGAGCCGAUGUCGGAUUAGCUAGUUGGCGGGGUAAAGGCCCACCAAGGCGACGAUCCGUAGCUGGUCUGAGAGGAUGAUCAGCCACACUGGAACUGAGACACGGUCCAGACUCCUACGGGAGGCAGCAGUGGGGAAUAUUGGACAAUGGGCGCAAGCCUGAUCCAGCCAUACCGCGUGGGUGAAGAAGGCCUUCGGGUUGUAAAGCCCUUUUGUUGGGAAAGAAAAGUAGCAGGUUAAUACCCCGCUGUUCUGACGGUACCCAAAGAAUAAGCACCGGCUAACUUCGUG